This 253-nucleotide ribosomal RNA is filed under the name uncultured bacterium. Its description in RNAcentral is "partial 16S ribosomal RNA". It matches the Rfam family "Bacterial small subunit ribosomal RNA", at positions 524 to 776 of the family's 1533-position model. The record is from RNAcentral.
UACGGAGGGUGCAAGCGUUGUCCGGAAUCACUGGGCGUAAAGGGCGCGUAGGCGGCUCAUGAAGGCUGUGGUGAAAGUCCGGGGCUCAACCUCGGAUCGGCCGUGGCGACUCGUGGGCUGGAGCACUGUAGAGGCGGGUGGAAUUCCGGGUGUAGCGGUGGAAUGCGUAGAUAUCAGGAGGAACACCUAUUGCGAAGGCAGCUCGCUGGGACGUAACUGACGCUGAGACGCGAAAGCGUGGGGAGCAAACAGG